GGAAGGUGCACUUGGCUAAACA
RNAcentral lists this ribosomal RNA (22 nucleotides) under Atherinella panamensis (Panama silverside). RNAcentral's name for it is "partial 12S small subunit ribosomal RNA". The record is from RNAcentral. Lineage: Eukaryota; Metazoa; Chordata; Actinopteri; Atheriniformes; Atherinopsidae.